GGGUAAUCUUUUGAAACUUCAUCGUGCUGGGGAUAGAUCAUUGCAAUUUUUGAUCUUAAACGAGGAAUUCCUAGUAAGCGCGAAUCAUCAGUUCGCGUUGAUUACGUCCCUGCCCUU
RNAcentral lists this ribosomal RNA (117 nucleotides) under uncultured eukaryote. RNAcentral describes it as "partial 18S ribosomal RNA". It matches the Rfam family "Eukaryotic small subunit ribosomal RNA", at positions 1544 to 1660 of the family's 1831-position model. The record is from RNAcentral.